CAUAGGUUAAUGAGGCGAACCGGGGGAACUGAAACAUCUAAGUACCCCGAGGAAAAGAAAUCAACCGAGAUUCCCCCAGUAGCGGCGAGCGAACGGGGAGGAGCCCAGAGCCUGAAUCAGUGUGUGUGUUAGUGGAAGCGUCUGGAAAGGCGCGCGAUACAGGGUGACAGCCCCGUACACAAAAAUGCACAUGCUGUGAGCUCGAUGAGUAGGGCGGGACACGUGGUAUCCUGUCUGAAUAUGGGGGGACCAUCCUCCAAGGCUAAAUACUCCUGACUGACCGAUAGUGAACCAGUACCGUGAGGGAAAGGCGAAAAGAACCCCGGCGAGGGGAGUGAAAAAGAACCUGAAACCGUGUACGUACAAGCAGUGGGAGCCUCUUAAUGGGGUGACUGCGUACCUUUUGUAUAAUGGGUCAGCGACUUAUAUUCUGUAGCAAGGUUAACCGAAUAGGGGAGCCGAAGGGAAACCGAGUCUUAACUGGGCGUUAAGUUGCAGGGUAUAGACCCGAAACCCGGUGAUCUAGCCAUGGGCAGGUUGAAGGUUGGGUAACACUAACUGGAGGACCGAACCGACUAAUGUUGAAAAAUUAGCGGAUGACUUGUGGCUGGGGGUGAAAGGCCAAUCAAACCGGGAGAUAGCUGGUUCUCCCCGAAAGCUAUUUAGGUAGCGCCUCGUGAAUUCAUCUCCGGGGGUAGAGCACUGUUUCGGCAAGGGGGUCAUCCCGACUUACCAACCCGAUGCAAACUGCGAAUACCGGAGAAUGUUAUCACGGGAGACACACGGCGGGUGCUAACGUCCGUCGUGAAGAGGGAAACAACCCAGACCGCCAGCUAAGGUCCCAAAGUCAUGGUUAAGUGGGAAACGAUGUGGGAAGGCCCAGACAGCCAGGAUGUUGGCUUAGAAGCAGCCAUCAUUUAAAGAAAGCGUAAUAGCUCACUGGUCGAGUCGGCCUGCGCGGAAGAUGUAACGGGGCUAAACCAUGCACCGAAGCUGCGGCAGCGACACUAUGUGUUGUUGGGUAGGGGAGCGUUCUGUAAGCCUGUGAAGGUGGCCUGUGAGGGUUGCUGGAGGUAUCAGAAGUGCGAAUGCUGACAUAAGUAACGAUAAAGCGGGUGAAAAGCCCGCUCGCCGGAAGACCAAGGGUUCCUGUCCAACGUUAAUCGGGGCAGGGUGAGUCGACCCCUAAGGCGAGGCCGAAAGGCGUAGUCGAUGGGAAACAGGUUAAUAUUCCUGUACUUGGUGUUACUGCGAAGGGGGGACGGAGAAGGCUAUGUUGGCCGGGCGACGGUUGUCCCGGUUUAAGCGUGUAGGCUGGUUUUCCAGGCAAAUCCGGAAAACCAAGGCUGAGGCGUGAUGACGAGGCACUACGGUGCUGAAGUGACAAAUGCCCUGCUUCCAGGAAAAGCCUCUAAGCAUCAGGUAACAUCAAAUCGUACCCCAAACCGACACAGGUGGUCAGGUAGAGAAUACCAAGGCGCUUGAGAGAACUCGGGUGAAGGAACUAGGCAAAAUGGUGCCGUAACUUCGGGAGAAGGCACGCUGAUAUGUAGGUGAAGCGACUUGCUCGUGGAGCUGAAAUCAGUCGAAGAUACCAGCUGGCUGCAACUGUUUAUUAAAAACACAGCACUGUGCAAACACGAAAGUGGACGUAUACGGUGUGACGCCUGCCCGGUGCCGGAAGGUUAAUUGAUGGGGUUAGCGGUAACGCGAAGCUCUUGAUCGAAGCCCCGGUAAACGGCGGCCGUAACUAUAACGGUCCUAAGGUAGCGAAAUUCCUUGUCGGGUAAGUUCCGACCUGCACGAAUGGCGUAAUGAUGGCCAGGCUGUCUCCACCCGAGACUCAGUGAAAUUGAACUCGCUGUGAAGAUGCAGUGUACCCGCGGCAAGACGGAAAGACCCCGUGAACCUUUACUAUAGCUUGACACUGAACAUUGAGCCUUGAUGUGUAGGAUAGGUGGGAGGCUUUGAAGUGUGGACGCCAGUCUGCAUGGAGCCGACCUUGAAAUACCACCCUUUAAUGUUUGAUGUUCUAACGUUGGCCCCUAAUCGGGGUUGCGGACAGUGUCUGGUGGGUAGUUUGACUGGGGCGGUCUCCUCCUAAAGAGUAACGGAGGAGCACGAAGGUUGGCUAAUCCUGGUCGGACAUCAGGAGGUUAGUGCAAUGGCAUAAGCCAGCUUGACUGCGAGCGUGACGGCGCGAGCAGGUGCGAAAGCAGGUCAUAGUGAUCCGGUGGUUCUGAAUGGAAGGGCCAUCGCUCAACGGAUAAAAGGUACUCCGGGGAUAACAGGCUGAUACCGCCCAAGAGUUCAUAUCGACGGCGGUGUUUGGCACCUCGAUGUCGGCUCAUCACAUCCUGGGGCUGAAGUAGGUCCCAAGGGUAUGGCUGUUCGCCAUUUAAAGUGGUACGCGAGCUGGGUUUAGAACGUCGUGAGACAGUUCGGUCCCUAUCUGCCGUGGGCGCUGGAGAACUGAGGGGGGCUGCUCCUAGUACGAGAGGACCGGAGUGGACGUAUCACUGGUGUUCGGGUUGUCAUGCCAAUGGCACUGCCCGGUAGCUAAAUGCGGAAGAGAUAAGUGCUGAAAGCAUCUAAGCACGAAACUUGCCCCGAGAUGAGUUCUCCCUGAGACUUAGAGUCUCCUGAAGGAACGUUGAAGACGACGACGUUGAUAGGCCGGGUGUGUAAGCGCAGCGAUGCGUUGAGCUAACCGGUACUAAUGAACCGUGAGGCUUAACCUUACAACGCCGAAG
Molecule: ribosomal RNA, 2753 nt
Filed under: Escherichia coli O6
Lineage: Bacteria; Pseudomonadati; Pseudomonadota; Gammaproteobacteria; Enterobacterales; Enterobacteriaceae
Description: partial 23S ribosomal RNA
Rfam family: Bacterial large subunit ribosomal RNA
Source: RNAcentral